RNAcentral lists this ribosomal RNA (465 nucleotides) under uncultured bacterium. RNAcentral's name for it is "bacterial SSU rRNA". It matches the Rfam family "Bacterial small subunit ribosomal RNA", at positions 338 to 795 of the family's 1533-position model. The record is from RNAcentral.
CCUANGGGGGGCAGCAGUGGGGAAUUUUGGACAAUGGGCGAAAGCCUGAUCCAGCAAUGCCGCGUGCAGGAAGAAGGCCUUCGGGUUGUAAACUGCUUUUGUACGGAACGAAAAGGUCUGCCCUAAUACGGCGGGCCCAUGACGGUACCGUAAGAAUAAGCACCGGCUAACUACGUGCCAGCAGCCGCGGUAAUACGUAGGGUGCGAGCGUUAAUCGGAAUUACUGGGCGUAAAGCGUGCGCAGGCGGUUAUGUAAGACAGUUGUGAAAUCCCCGGGCUCAACCUGGGAAUUGCAUCUGUGACUGCAUAGCUAGAGUACGGUAGAGGGGGAUGGAAUUCCGCGUGUAGCAGUGAAAUGCGUAGAUAUGCGGAGGAACACCGAUGGCGAAGGCAAUCCCCUGGACCUGUACUGACGCUCAUGCACGAAAGCGUGGGGAGCAAACAGGAUUAGAUACCCUANUANUC